Molecule: ribosomal RNA, 513 nt
Filed under: uncultured bacterium
Lineage: Bacteria
Description: bacterial SSU rRNA
Rfam family: Bacterial small subunit ribosomal RNA
Source: RNAcentral
ACGCUGGCGGCGUGCCUAAUACAUGCAAGUCGAACGGUCUUUUCUAUGGAAGCUUGCUUCCACUGAGAAGAUAGUGGCGAACGGGUGAGUAACACGUGGGUAACCUGCCCAUAAGAGGGGGAUAACAUCCGGAAACGGGUGCUAGUACCGCAUAGUUUUCUUGAUCGCAUGAUUGAGAAAGGAAAGACGGCCUUUGUGCUGUCGCUUAUGGAUGGACCCGCGGCGUAUUAGUUAGUUGGUGAGGUAACGGCUCACCAAGACGAUGAUACGUAGCCGACCUGAGAGGGUGAUCGGCCACAUUGGGACUGAGACACGGCCCAAGCUCCUACGGGAGGCAGCAGUAGGGAAUCUUCCGCAAUGGACGAAAGUCUGACGGAGCAACGCCGCGUGAGUGAAGAAAGGUUUUCGGAUCGUAAAACUCUGUUGUCAGAGAAGAACAAGUUGGAGAGUAACUGCUCCAGCCUUGACGGUAUCUGACCAGAAAGCCACGGCUAACUACGUGCCAGCAGCCGC